CAGUCGCCGCGGGAACACGUAGGUGGCAAGCGUUGUCCGGAAUUAUUGGGCGCAAAGGGCUCGCAGGCGGUUUCUUAAGUCUGAUGUGAAAGCCCCCGGCUCAACCGGGGAGGGUCAUUGGAAACUGGGAAACUUGAGUGCAGAAUAGGAGAGUGGAAUUCCACGUGUAGCGGUGUAAUGCGUAGAGAUGUGGAGGAACACCAGUGGCGAAGGCGACUCUCUGGUCUGUAACUGACGCUGAGGAGCGAAAGCGUGGGGAGCGAACAGGAUUAGAUACCCCCGUAGUCCCUGUCUCUUAUAC
Molecule: ribosomal RNA, 301 nt
Filed under: uncultured bacterium
Lineage: Bacteria
Description: partial 16S ribosomal RNA
Rfam family: Bacterial small subunit ribosomal RNA
Source: RNAcentral